UACGUAGGGUGCGAGCGUUGUCCGGAAUUAUUGGGCGUAAAGGGCUCGUAGGCGGUUUGUCACGUCGGGAGUGAAAACUCGGGGCUUAACCCCGAGCCUGCUUCCGAUACGGGCUGACUAGAGGUAUGCAGGGGAGAACGGAAUUCCUGGUGUAGCGGUGAAAUGCGCAGAUAUCAGGAGGAACACCGGUGGCGAAGGCGGUUCUCUGGGCAUUACCUGACGCUGAGGUGCGAAAGCGUGGGGAGCAAACAGG
Molecule: ribosomal RNA, 253 nt
Filed under: uncultured bacterium
Lineage: Bacteria
Description: partial 16S ribosomal RNA
Rfam family: Bacterial small subunit ribosomal RNA
Source: RNAcentral